UACUACGGCCAUGUCACCCUGAACAAGCCCGAUCCCGUCUGAUCUCGGAAGCUAAGCAAGAUUAGUACUUGGAUAGGAGACCUCCUAGGAAGACCAGGUACUGUAGGUG
RNAcentral lists this ribosomal RNA (109 nucleotides) under Pteropus alecto (black flying fox). The record is from RNAcentral. Lineage: Eukaryota; Metazoa; Chordata; Mammalia; Chiroptera; Pteropodidae.